GACGAACGCUGGCGGCGUGCUUAACACAUGCAAGUCGAACGGAAAGGCCCUGCUUUUGUGGGGUGCUCGAGUGGCGAACGGGUGAGUAACACGUGAGUAACCUGCCCUUGACUUUGGGAUAACUUCAGGAAACUGGGGCUAAUACCGGAUAGGAGCUCCUGCUGCAUGGUGGGGGUUGGAAAGUUUCGGCGGUUGGGGAUGGACUCGCGGCUUAUCAGCUUGUUGGUGGGGUAGUGGCUUACCAAGGCUUUGACGGGUAGCCGGCCUGAGAGGGUGACCGGCGACAUUGGGACUGAGAUACGGCCCAGACUCCUACGGGAGGCAGCAGUGGGGAAUAUUGCACAAUGGGCGGAAGCCUGAUGCAGCAACGCCGCGGGCGGGAUGACGGCCUUCGGGUUGUAAACCGCUUUCGCCGGUGACGAAGCGUGAGUGACGGUAAUGGGUAAAGAAGCACCGGCUAACUACGUG
This 468-nucleotide ribosomal RNA is filed under the name uncultured bacterium. RNAcentral describes it as "partial 16S ribosomal RNA". It matches the Rfam family "Bacterial small subunit ribosomal RNA", at positions 28 to 507 of the family's 1533-position model. The record is from RNAcentral.